AGAUUUCAUUUUAUCACCAACCACUUUCUCUGAAACCAUCACAUCUGAAGCUGUCGUAUUUGGAAUCAAACCAUAUGUCCUCUAUCUGUCCAUCUUCAUCCCACUGAGUGCAGCACUAAUAGUGAUUAUUGCUCUGCUCCUUCACAAGAGACGAGUGAAGAGAAGCACCAUCAACUCAGAUUCAGCCAGUGGUCACCACGCUCUGAGGACUGUUACAGGAAGUGGUGAGGAUGAAAGAGACUAUGAAAAUGAUCCACAUGGAAACGCCAGAACAACAGUCCCAAUCUACCAGAGCCUGAACCCCAACACGAAC
Molecule: long non-coding RNA, 313 nt
Organism: Astyanax mexicanus (Mexican tetra)
Lineage: Eukaryota; Metazoa; Chordata; Actinopteri; Characiformes; Acestrorhamphidae
Exons: 4
Source: RefSeq, a predicted model, not a curated record